GCCAGGCGCAGUGGUGCAUGCCUGUAAUCCCAGCAGCUCAGGAGGCUGAGGCAGGAAGAUUGCAAGUUCAAAGCCAGCCUCAGCAAUGGCGAGGUGCUGAACAACUCAGUGAAACCCUGUCUCUA
Molecule: small RNA, 125 nt
Filed under: Marmota monax (woodchuck)
Lineage: Eukaryota; Metazoa; Chordata; Mammalia; Rodentia; Sciuridae
Source: RNAcentral